This 709-nucleotide ribosomal RNA is filed under the name Klebsiella aerogenes. Its description in RNAcentral is "partial 16S rRNA". Lineage: Bacteria; Pseudomonadati; Pseudomonadota; Gammaproteobacteria; Enterobacterales; Enterobacteriaceae. The record is from RNAcentral.
GUCCAGGGGGCCGCCUUCGCCACCGGUAUUCCUCCAGAUCUCUACGCAUUUCACCGCUACACCUGGAAUUCUACCCCCCUCUACAAGACUCUAGCCUGCCAGUUUCGAAUGCAGUUCCCAGGUUGAGCCCGGGGAUUUCACAUCCGACUUGACAGACCGCCUGCGUGCGCUUUACGCCCAGUAAUUCCGAUUAACGCUUGCACCCUCCGUAUUACCGCGGCUGCUGGCACGGAGUUAGCCGGUGCUUCUUCUGCGAGUAACGUCAAUCACCAAGGUUAUUAACCUUAACGCCUUCCUCCUCGCUGAAAGUACUUUACAACCCGAAGGCCUUCUUCAUACACGCGGCAUGGCUGCAUCAGGCUUGCGCCCAUUGUGCAAUAUUCCCCACUGCUGCCUCCCGUAGGAGUCUGGACCGUGUCUCAGUUCCAGUGUGGCUGGUCAUCCUCUCAGACCAGCUAGGGAUCGUCGCCUAGGUGAGCCAUUACCCCACCUACUAGCUAAUCCCAUCUGGGCACAUCUGAUGGCAUGAGGCCCGAAGGUCCCCCACUUUGGUCUUGCGACGUUAUGCGGUAUUAGCUACCGUUUCCAGUAGUUAUCCCCCUCCAUCAGGCAGUUUCCCAGACAUUACUCACCCGUCCGCCGCUCGUCACCCGAGAGCAAGCUCUCUGUGUUACCGCUCGACUUGCAUGUGUUAGGCCUGCCGCCAGCG